GAUGAACGCUGGCGGCGUGCCUAAUACAUGCAAGUCGAGCGAACAGAUAAGGAGCUUGCUCCUUUGACGUUAGCGGCGGACGGGUGAGUAACACGUGGGUAACCUACCUAUAAGACUGGGAUAACUUCGGGAAACCGGAGCUAAUACCGGAUAAUAUUUCGAACCGCAUGGUUCGAUAGUGAAAGAUGGUUUUGCUAUCACUUAUAGAUGGACCCGCGCCGUAUUAGCUAGUUGGUAAGGUAACGGCUUACCAAGGCGACGAUACGUAGCCGACCUGAGAGGGUGAUCGGCCACACUGGAACUGAGACACGGUCCAGACUCCUACGGGAGGCAGCAGUAGGGAAUCUUCCGCAAUGGGCGAAAGCCUGACGGAGCAACGCCGCGUGAGUGAUGAAGGUCUUCGGAUCGUAAAACUCUGUUAUUAGGGAAGAACAUACGUGUAAGUAACUGUGCACGUCUUGACGGUACCUAAUCAGAAAGCCACGGCUAACUACAUG
This 497-nucleotide ribosomal RNA is filed under the name uncultured bacterium. Its description in RNAcentral is "partial 16S ribosomal RNA". It matches the Rfam family "Bacterial small subunit ribosomal RNA", at positions 28 to 507 of the family's 1533-position model. The record is from RNAcentral.